AUACAGACCUGAAGGCGGGGCUUUCUCUUCUUGAAUGUUAUGGUGCAAGGACACGUUUGAAGAGCAGUUUGACCCCAGCGAGUGUCGGCUUUUUCCCGUUCAACAACAGCUGUUUGAUUUUGUGGACAAGGCCGGGGGCGGCUGCCAUGGCGGAUCCUCGAGGGCACCGCAUUGGCUCUGCUUCUCCAUCGAGUUCCCGCCAGCAAGCGAGGUAUCACGCCUCCUGUCUCGUCAUGCGCCCACCAACUUAUUCCAGCGGCGGCAAGAGCCCCCCAACGUCCUCGCCGCCCAGCGGAAGCGAGUGCGCGAGGACUUCUCCCUCCUCUACGGUGCUACACCACUGUCGCAGCAGAGUCGCAUGUUUCUUGCCGCCACACUCGACGGUGUGCGGUCCAUCUUGUCACGAAUUGAUUCCCGCCAGCUGCACCUAUACGAGAUUAUUCGCGAGGGAGGUCCGUGUCAUCUCUACCUGGACGUGGAGAGAGAGACUAAUCAUACGGCACUGCAGCAUGUUAUCGCGGUCGACGACGACUCGACGUCAUCCUCUGUGGAGGAAACCGACUCGCUCGUGCAGGUGGAGGAGGACGUCAGCGGCAUCCGACGCAUCGCCUUUCAAUGUUGCCAGAGCCGGUAUCAGGAACUGCGUCGGCUCGCGGCGCGUGAGCCGACUGACGUAUGUGGAUUAGACUGUCAUAUCGAGCCGGAUAAUCGUAACACGUGCGACGUGUUGCUCAGCGCACUGGACUCCUUUGUGCGCGAUCGGCACCCCUCGUGGGUUCCUCCACGACUCGAAGUCGAGGGACCAGGAAGCGUCUUUGCAGAUGUCUGGGUGCUGGAGUCUCUGCCUCUCUCUGGCGCGGCGACAAAAUUCUCACAACACUACAUUCUCAAGCUGCACGGCCGCAUGUUCGAGUCCACAAACUCUGUGAAGGUGUUUGUGCGCGACUUUGUGGCGCACGUGAGCGAGCGAGCCGCGCACGAUUCUCAACUGCACGGCGCCCUCUUCUUUCACAAGCCCCCUGCAUGGUAUCCGGUGUUUCGCGCGCUACCACCUGAUUAUCCCCGUAACACCUUCCCCUACCUCCCGCGGCGUUGCGUGAUUGACGAGGCUGUCUACUCCAAGAACCGAAUGAUGCGUUGCGUCGGUAGCUGUAAGCUGGGCAAGCAGAGUGUUUUGCUGCCGUAUCGUCAUUACGUUGCUGGCUCCUGUGUUGAACACUUUUCGAACUCUGUCGACACCGCGUCGAUAUCUUUGGAUGUUUUUCUGAGCACCUUGAUCGGACAUCGUUUCGCAAAGGACGUUGCACCCGUUUCCCUCAUCAAGCUCACGGAAGAGAUUGAUGCUCCCAAGAACACGCGAGCGUGUGCGCUGCCGGCGAGCCUGAGUGAGGGGACUGUCCCGGCAACGCUGCACACCGUCUCACUGAACGUCGACAUCGCCCUGCUUACCUCAAGCUUGCAGAAGGCGUACUCGCAGGUUGCGAAUCGCGCAUGCACAGUGGCCCAGCCGCACAGUCUCCACGGCCGGUUUCUCAGCUUUUCUGUACGUGGAACGCGCUAUUGCCAAAAUAUCGGCCGUGAGCACAAAUCCAAUAACGUCUACCUUGUGGUGGAUACGGUGCGAAUGACGUUUGUGCAAAAGUGCUUCGAUCCGGACUGCGCCUCUUACCGAUCACCACCCCACCUUCUUGGCGGCGCUCCGUAAACCACGCAGGGCCGGGCGGGCAGGUUAUGUUUCUGUCCCUUUUCCCACUGCAUGGCAGGCUUGCCGCUGCCACGCGGUGUGGACAUCGCGUCGCCGCCCGUGCUCUCCUAGUUGAUGGAAUAGAGCAGAACAAAUAG
This 1842-nucleotide unclassified non-coding RNA is filed under the name Leishmania donovani. RNAcentral describes it as "gene:LdHU3.33.0040(CDS-product:PrimPol-like_prote in_1_putative)". The record is from RNAcentral. Lineage: Eukaryota; Euglenozoa; Kinetoplastea; Trypanosomatida; Trypanosomatidae.